This 433-nucleotide ribosomal RNA is filed under the name uncultured bacterium. RNAcentral describes it as "partial 16S ribosomal RNA". It matches the Rfam family "Bacterial small subunit ribosomal RNA", at positions 29 to 507 of the family's 1533-position model. The record is from RNAcentral.
AGCGAACGCUGGCGGCAGGCCUAACACAUGCAAGUCGAACGGAUCCUUCGGGAUUAGUGGCGGACGGGUGAGUAACACGUGGGAACGUGCCCUUUGGUUCGGAACAACUCAGGGAAACUUGAGCUAAUACCGGAUGUGCUCUUCGGGGGAAAGAUUUAUCGCCAUUGGAGCGGCCCGCGUCUGAUUCGCUAGUUGGUGAGGUAACGGCCCGCCAAGGCGACGAUCAGUAGCUGGUCUGUGAGGAUGAUCAGCCACACUGGGGCUGAGACACGGCCCAGACUCCUACGGGAGGCAGCAGUGGGGAAUCUUGCGCAAUGGGCGAAAGCCUGACGCAGCCAUGCCGCGUGAAUGAUGAAGGUCUUAGGAUUGUAAAAUUCUUUCAGCGGGGACGAUAAUGACGGUACCCGCAGAAGAAGCUCCGGCUAACUUCGUG